UACGAGGGGUGCAAGCGUUGCUCGGAAUUAUUGGGCGUAAAGGGUAGGUAGGUGGUCUCGUUUGUCUGGGGUGAAAGCCUUGGGCUUAACUCAAGAAGUGCCCCAGAAACGGCGAGACUAGAGUAUUGGAGAGGGUCGUGGAAUUCCCGGUGUAGCGGUGAAAUGCGUAGAGAUCGGGAGGAACACCAGAGGCGAAGGCGGCGACCUGGACAAUUACUGACACUCAACUACGAAAGCGUGGGGAGCAAACAGG
Molecule: ribosomal RNA, 253 nt
Filed under: uncultured bacterium
Lineage: Bacteria
Description: partial 16S ribosomal RNA
Rfam family: Bacterial small subunit ribosomal RNA
Source: RNAcentral